This 235-nucleotide long non-coding RNA is filed under the name Elaeis guineensis (African oil palm). RNAcentral describes it as "long non-coding RNA (EGUI_LNC036905)". Lineage: Eukaryota; Viridiplantae; Streptophyta; Magnoliopsida; Arecales; Arecaceae. The record is from RNAcentral.
AUGGGUUAAAGGGAUAAGGACCACUGAAAUACUUACCCUAGCACACAUUCAAUGUGCAUGGCCCAUUUGAUGAGUCAAACUAGGAGGUUAUCACUAUUUCAUCACCUUUAUCGAUGAACAGUCAUGGUCUAGGUAUAUGUAUGUAAGAUACAAAUCUGAAAGACUUUGAAAGGUUCAAAGAAUUAAGAUGUGAAGUAAAAAAGUAAAUCAAAAAAAUUCUAAAGGUACUUCAAUU